Penaeus indicus is the source of this 332-nucleotide long non-coding RNA. RefSeq lists it as uncharacterized. NCBI's taxonomy places the organism in Eukaryota, Metazoa, Arthropoda, Malacostraca, Decapoda, Penaeidae. The record is from RefSeq and is a predicted model, not a curated record. The transcript is spliced from 3 exons.
CGAACGAAAAAUUCAGUGCACAGUCGGGUGUGAUCUUGAACACACGUAUCCUCUUGGUUGGUUGACACGUUGACUAUAGAACUGUGCUUAACUUGACACGUGUACAGUGCUACAUUUCUUGGCCGUAGAGGAAAAUCAGCGCGAUCAUGAGGCAACUCUAUGCAACCCACGUGGGCGCCGUCACGAGUCUUAUCCUGAUAGCUGGAUUGUGUUUCCUCUUCAUCAAAGGACCUCACAUCGAUGACACAUUUGCUGUUCGUAAGAUAGAAGACCCUAACGAAUCUUUCUCCUCAAGGCUGGUACGUGAUUUUCGGGGAACAACAGGUCACAGG